UUCAGGACAUCCUUAUAUUUCUCCUGAUUUGUUUGUUUGUUUGUUUGUUUUUUUUUAGGAUAUGUAUCAAUCCAGCCAAAUGAGAGUUCUGGGUACUCCUGGUGAUCAGGAAGAAACAUCAGUAGGAGGUCUGUAUGGUUUUGACCUUCUGAAAGAUGUUCCCACCAUCCCCUUUACUGAGUCAGAAAUGGAAAUACAACCUCAUAUGAACAAAAGAGUCAUAAAAAUCCAGUGGCCAGACAAAAUUCCAGACAACUGAUGAUGACUUGGGAUGCGGUGGAUGACCUUGGCUUUUCAGUAUCAAAUCAAGUUCUAAACACUCCACAGUGUCUGCGUCAUACUGCUUUCAGAGCCCCUGGAAGAAAUUGUUUGCAUCCACCCCUUCUGCUGGGGUAAGUCUUCAUGUGCCUGCGGUAGGUACCCCACUAACUCAGUGACGUCUGAGGUCUGUUAGGUAUCCUUAACCUGGGUUAGCCUACCUGCUUACAUGGUUUACUGGGUUUUGGCCACUGUGCAUGCUAUGGCUUCUUGGAGCCACAAGCAAGAGCUGGGUGGCAGGUAGACACCAAUGGAGGGAAUUAGUCCUAAAAAAGGCUCAGCAAGUCCUCACACCAGAGGUACAAUCUUCCCUGAGCACUCCAUAUACCCCAUCUCCCUUUUAUAAGUCCUGUUCAAAGGGAUAUUUCUGAGUCAUGAUAUCCCAGGCUGUUCAAAUCAUCCUUAUAGAGUAAGAUUUAAACAUUCUCCAUGAGGUGUCUUUGAAUAUAAAAGAACUCAAACCCAAGAGAUGUUCUCAAUUC
RNAcentral lists this long non-coding RNA (800 nucleotides) under Monodelphis domestica (gray short-tailed opossum). RNAcentral describes it as "lncRNA (ENSMODG00000048227.1)". Lineage: Eukaryota; Metazoa; Chordata; Mammalia; Didelphimorphia; Didelphidae. The record is from RNAcentral.